Molecule: long non-coding RNA, 750 nt
Filed under: Chrysemys picta bellii (western painted turtle)
Lineage: Eukaryota; Metazoa; Chordata; Testudines; Emydidae
Description: lncRNA (ENSCPBG00000021493.1)
Source: RNAcentral
AUGAUGGAUGUGCACAAAUGGAACUCCUCUAGUUCCACCUGGGAAUUAGUUCUUAUCUAUAAUGGAAAGUCUCAUUCUGGGAAACGCACCUUCAGAGAUCAGCUCACUGUAUCCCAGGAGCAGUUCACAGUGAUGAACACGAGCAGAGAGUUACAAGGAGUUUAUAUGGUUACCUUAUUCCUGUCUGAGAAAUGUGUGGCUCUCAUCAACCUGACAGUGAGGGAUCCAGCUUUAUGGGCUCUAUUCCCCAUUCUGAUUAUUGCUGCAAUAGUCAUUUACUUGGCUGUAAAAAGAUUUUGUCCAAGAAGAGAUGGAUCAAGAGCCAUUCAAUGACAGACCUGUGGGUGGCUAUAUUACAACAGAAAAACUUCAAAAACAGACUCCAACCAGAGACUGCUGAGCUGGAAUUGAUAUGCAAACUAGACACAAUCAACUCAGGAUUGAAUAAGGACUGGGAAUGGCUGAGCCAUUACAAACAUUGAAUCUAUCUCCCCUUGUAAGUAUUCUCACAUGUCUUAUCAAACUGUCUGUACUGGGCUAGCUUGAUUAUCACUUCAAAAGUUUUUUUCCUCUUACUUAAUUGGCCUCUCAGAGUUGGUAAGACAACUCCCACCUGUUCAUGCUCUGUGUAUGUGUGUAUAUAUAUCUCCUCAAUAUAUGUUCCACUCUAUAUGCAUCUGAAGAAGUGGGCUGUAGCGCACGAAAGCUUAUGCUCUAAUAAAUGUGUUACCGGUAGUCUCUAAGGUGCCA